AUUGAACGCUGGCGGCAGGCUUAACACAUGCAAGUCGAGCGGAGAGAGGUAGCUUGCUACUGAUCUUAGCGGCGGACGGGUGAGUAAUGCUUAGGAAUCUGCCUAUUAGUGGGGGACAACAUUUCGAAAGGAAUGCUAAUACCGCAUACGUCCUACGGGAGAAAGCAGGGGAUCUUCGGACCUUGCGCUAAUAGAUGAGCCUAAGUCGGAUUAGCUAGUUGGUGGGGUAAAGGCCUACCAAGGCGACGAUCUGUAGCGGGUCUGAGAGGAUGAUCCGCCACCCUGGGACUGAAACACGGCCCAGACUCCUACGGGAGGCAGCAGUGGGGAAUAUUGGACAAUGGGCGGAAGCCUGAUCCAGCCAUGCCGCGUGUGUGAAGAAGGCCUUAUGGUUGUAAAGCACUUUAAGCGAGGAGGAGGCUACUUUAGUUAAUACCUAGAGAUAGUGGACGUUACUCGCAGAAUAAGCACCGGCUAUCUCUGUGCCAGCCGCCGCGGUAA
This 501-nucleotide ribosomal RNA is filed under the name uncultured bacterium. RNAcentral describes it as "partial 16S ribosomal RNA". It matches the Rfam family "Bacterial small subunit ribosomal RNA", at positions 30 to 523 of the family's 1533-position model. The record is from RNAcentral.